RNAcentral lists this ribosomal RNA (1442 nucleotides) under uncultured organism. Its description in RNAcentral is "SSU rRNA". It matches the Rfam family "Bacterial small subunit ribosomal RNA". The record is from RNAcentral.
AACGCUUGCUACAGGCUUAACACAUGCAAGUCGAGGGGCAGCAUGGUCUUAGCUUGCUAAGGCCGAUGGCGACCGGCGCACGGGUGAGUAACACGUAUCCAACCUGCCGUCUACUCUUGGACAGCCUUCUGAAAGGAAGAUUAAUACAAGAUGGCAUCAUGAGUCCGCAUGUUCACAUGAUUAAAGGUAUUCCGGUAGACGAUGGGGAUGCGUUCCAUUAGAUAGUAGGCGGGGUAACGGCCCACCUAGUCUUCGAUGGAUAGGGGUUCUGAGAGGAAGGUCCCCCACAUUGGAACUGAGACACGGUCCAAACUCCUACGGGAGGCAGCAGUGAGGAAUAUUGGUCAAUGGGCGAGAGCCUGAACCAGCCAAGUAGCGUGAAGGAUGACUGCCCUAUGGGUUGUAAACUUCUUUUAUAAAGGAAUAAAGUCGGGUAUGGAUACCCGUUUGCAUGUACUUUAUGAAUAAGGAUCGGCUAACUCCGUGCCAGCAGCCGCGGUAAUACGGAGGAUCCGAGCGUUAUCCGGAUUUAUUGGGUUUAAAGGGAGCGUAGAUGGAUGUUUAAGUCAGUUGUGAAAGUUUGCGGCUCAACCGUAAAAUUGCAGUUGAUACUGGAUAUCUUGAGUGCAGUUGAGGCAGGCGGAAUUCGUGGUGUAGCGGUGAAAUGCUUAGAUAUCACGAAGAACUCCGAUUGCGAAGGCAGCCUGCUAAGCUGCAACUGACAUUGAGGCUCGAAAGUGUGGGUAUCAAACAGGAUUAGAUACCCUGGUAGUCCACACGGUAAACGAUGAAUACUCGCUGUUUGCGAUAUACUGCAAGCGGCCAAGCGAAAGCGUUAAGUAUUCCACCUGGGGAGUACGCCGGCAACGGUGAAACUCAAAGGAAUUGACGGGGGCCCGCACAAGCGGAGGAACAUGUGGUUUAAUUCGAUGAUACGCGAGGAACCUUACCCGGGCUUAAAUUGCAGAUGAAUUACGGUGAAAGCCGUAAGCCGCAAGGCAUCUGUGAAGGUGCUGCAUGGUUGUCGUCAGCUCGUGCCGUGAGGUGUCGGCUUAAGUGCCAUAACGAGCGCAACCCUUGUUGUCAGUUACUAACAGGUCAUGCUGAGGACUCUGACAAGACUGCCAUCGUAAGAUGUGAGGAAGGUGGGGAUGACGUCAAAUCAGCACGGCCCUUACGUCCGGGGCUACACACGUGUUACAAUGGGGGGUACAGAGGGCCGCUACCACGCGAGUGGAUGCCAAUCCCAAAAACCUCUCUCAGUUCGGACUGGAGUCUGCAACCCGACUCCACGAAGCUGGAUUCGCUAGUAAUCGCGCAUCAGCCACGGCGCGGUGAAUACGUUCCCGGGCCUUGUACACACCGCCCGUCAAGCCAUGGGAGCCGGGGGUACCUGAAGUGCGUAACCGCGAGGAGCGCCCUAGGGUAAAACUGGUGACUGG